Non-coding RNA from Lolium perenne, 2608 nucleotides. Lineage: Eukaryota; Viridiplantae; Streptophyta; Magnoliopsida; Poales; Poaceae. The record is from RefSeq and is a predicted model, not a curated record.
CGACAACCCUAGCCAUUCAUGCGCUCUCCCCCCAAUCCCCUCUCGUUUGGCCGCCGCCUCCCCAUCUCCCGCUCCGCGCCGUCGGCGGCGUCCUCUACGGCGAGCCGUCGUCGCCCGCGUCCUCUCGCUCUGGGUCAUCAAGACCAAGGGCGAGCGGUGAGCCAGGCAAGAAAAGGCGGCUCUGCCUCGCAUGGCCGAGCUCGCGUCGUCUUCGUCGGCUCCGGCAAGGCAGGGCCAUGGGGGUCGGCCGCAGUCUUCCUCGGCGGCGCGCUGGCCAUACCUCGCCGCCUCUCGCCUAGCGACCGACCCCCAAUCCGCUCGCGAGCUUCCUCGUCCCCAAUCCCUCGACGAUUUCUCUUCCGCCCCUCUUUCCUGCUCGUUUCUGCUUCUCGUCCACCUCCACUCGCCUCUGCUCUUGGGAUGCGGCUGCCUCUCCCUCGUAUGGUCGUUCUCCCGAUGUCGCCAUAGCUGGCCUUGGGCGCGAGCGCCACCUCCCUUCGUCGCCAUGACUGGCCCGGAGUAGCGCCGUCCUUGGGCGCGAGCAGUGCUUCCCAUCGUCGCCAUGGUUGGCCCGGAGAGCGCCGAUCUUGCGCGCGAGCGCCGCAUGCGGCACGAGCAGGGCGCCAGCCUUGGGUUGGACAAAAGAUUCGUGAAGGCGUCCGCCGGUCAUGCUGGUGGCGUAGAAGAGAAAGGGACGGGCCGCUGCCACCACGGAGACGAAAUUCAUCCUCACUGGCCCAGGCCAAAUAAGGUGCUCCUGGCUUCUCCUAAUCCUCUUCCCCCUUAUGCUAACAUUUUUCUCUCCCCGUCCAAUCCUUAGUGUUUGAGUCAGCCUCCAUGCCGGCCGCCGUUCAUUCUUUGCCCCUCCACCAGGACCCAUCUUUGUCUCGUAUGGGGAUAGAAGGACGGUAUCAACAGAGCUGCUCGGAGCUUCGCUGGCAAACCUUAGGAUUGCAGUCACAAUGACAAGCUAGCCGGCUAUACCAACAAAGCCAAAGCAAAACAAAAAUUAAGGAAACCUUGUGAUAUGCAUAGAUCCGAGUUUCAGGGGAUCUAGGUUCUCUCUGGUGGAUAGGGGUUUUAUAUAUGUGAUCAUAUCCGCGGAGAUGGUGAAAUGGGUUGGCAGUGUUAUGAAGCUGGGAAGCUGUUGAAGAAGACCAACACUUUCACUGACUUAGUUGCUUGUGCUGAGCAGUAAAGAAACGUUUUGUAUCAGCGGGAGAAGUGCAUGUGGCAUGUUCAUGGGUAUUAUCCUAAAUAUGAGGCCUGACUUAUUCAAGCCAACUGUUGCUGAGGUGCCUUUAGUUGAUGUUCUCACAACUAUGCUUGAUCCAGCUAUCCCGUUGACUGCAGCUGAAUGGGAGAGUGAGCAACUCUUGUGGAGUGAGAGGAAAUGACAAGCCGUUUGUGCAAAAUAGGAGUUAAUCGAAGAGCUGGAGUCUAGAGGGAAAAAAGUUCAGAUUUUGCGACAGUAUUUCAGAGAAGCUGGUGUCGGUUAUCUUAGAUAGUCCCAACAAGGUUUCUCUAAAAGGAUAUUCACAAGAAGAGUGGACCAUAGAUGAGAGUGAUGAACCAUAGAUGAUGGAAAUACUUAAAUAUAGAUGGAGAUAAUGCUGAACUAAAAGCGCCUACGGGUUUGUUGGACAAUCGUCAUCGGCCAUGGUGGAGGGCUGGAGGAGGGAGGUGGAGCAGGAACGUCGGUCGCACUCCAUCCUACACGCCGAUGCCCCCUCCUGGUCUCGGAAAAAGAGGCCAAGUCAUGCCAGGCAACAGCGAGCAGGGCGUUCAACGCAGUUGUUGGGACAGGCUGCCGGAGUGGUGUUCUUGACCUCAUGUGCAGCUGGGAAAAGAUGUCCGCUUUGUUGUACUGCAAGCUGCUGAUGGCAGGCGAGUUUUAGCUAGCUUCUCGCGAGGAUUUCUGCUAGGUCAUGAAGCACAAAAAAGGCCUGAGUAAAAAUAACAUGUGCCGUUUGCGGCCGGUCAAGAGCUUGGCCAGUAUGGGCAGCAAUACAAAUUUCGAGCAAUUAAUCGUGAGGCUUUGGUGUACAGGAUCAUUGAGAAGGUUUAGAGUAUCCUUGAUGCUCUAUUUGGGUAGGGAAGACCAAAAAGUGUUGCCUACCAAUGGAAGAUUGUGUGUGCUCAAAACUUGCUCCGUGCAAUUUGUAUGGCGGCAUAAAAUUUUGGCUGUACAUGCAUCCAAAGAUCUGUCUUAAGAUUUCUGUUGUACUCGCCGCCAGGACCGUUGCCAGCACUCAGCAAGAUCUCGGCUUUGUACAUCCUUCUGGUUGAAUGAUUCCCAGUGAUUGAUCAUGCUCAGAGUCCAGAAUCCAAACAUGCUGAGUUAGUCCAGAAAAAUAGGCAAGCCACCAAUCUGAACUAAAUUUUGACUAGGAUCAUUCUCUUUUCAAUCAUUCUUAUGCUGCUAUUUAAUUUAUCUUUGUACAAAACACAUCCAUGUGUUAAGUCAAUGUGCGCAUGAUUGUUAGACCGUUAAUAGCGCGUAAACAUUUGGAUCGCGGGUUACAUUGCUACAUGCUGGCCAAUUAUUUGUAACUUUUCUUAUGUACUUUGUUGAAUAAAUUGGAAAGAGAAGUAUUUUGUUAGUAAA